GUCUACGGCCAUGCCACCCUGAACAAGCCCGAUUCCGUCUGAUUUCAGAAGCUAAGCAGGGUCGGGCCUGGUUAGUACUUAGAUAGGAGACCACCCAGGAAGACCAGGUGCUGUAGGCA
RNAcentral lists this ribosomal RNA (119 nucleotides) under Pteropus alecto (black flying fox). The record is from RNAcentral. Lineage: Eukaryota; Metazoa; Chordata; Mammalia; Chiroptera; Pteropodidae.